Molecule: RNA transcript, 2592 nt
Organism: Salvia miltiorrhiza (redroot sage)
Lineage: Eukaryota; Viridiplantae; Streptophyta; Magnoliopsida; Lamiales; Lamiaceae
Gene name: pentatricopeptide repeat-containing protein At1g12620-like
Exons: 3
Source: RefSeq, a predicted model, not a curated record
CAAACAACAAAAUUCCUAAAUCUGAUGAAGCAAACAAAGCUCGAUCUCCCAUUUUUGUUGGUAGGUUUCUCAUUUGUUUACCUUUAUUCAGAUCUAAAUCUCGCCGCCGAUUAACGAUGAUGAGCAGAAGAGCUGCUGUUUCUGCAAUAAAUCUCAUUCAUGGAAGAGGAUUUCUCAAUCGGUGGUCGCAUAAAUCGGGUAUUCUUUCUCCUAUGUUCUCUCUCUUCUCUUCCGAGGCUUUUCAACCUAAGCAGCCCACAAUUGAUUUCAGUUGUGCUAAAGAAGUAGACGAUGUUAUUGAAUUGUUUCAAAAAAUAAAGAUUAUGCGGCCGGAGCCUUCUGUUCGCCUCUACAGCAAACUCAUGAGUGUUAGUGUAAAGAUUGAGCAGUAUUAUUUUGCCCUUCAUGUGUUCGAUGAAAUGCUUAGGAUGGGUGUUCCCGUUUGUGAUUACACAAUGAAUAUUGCUGUCAACUGUUGUUGUCUCUUGAAAGAUAUGUACUCUGCUUUUGCUGUAAUGGGAUUCUUUCUCAAGAGAGGUUACGAACCAGACGUCACGACUUUCAGCACUCUCAUAAAAGGGUUAUUCUUAGUUAAUAAGGAGGCUGAAGCUGUGAAAUUGUUCGAAAAGAUUCUGGAUUUAAAACUUUGCGAGCCAAAUCGUCUUAUGAAUCUGCAACUGAUUGAUGGGCUGUGCAAAGCUGGACAGGCCAUUGAAGCCCAAGAUUGGCUUCAUAGAUUAGAAAGUAGUGGGUGGAGUCCCGACGUUUACACUUAUAGUGCACUAAUUGAUGGAUUUUGGAAGGGUGGAAUGGUGGACAAUGCCUUCAAGGUUCUAUCCAAAAUGGUUGGGAAGGGUAUUUUACCUAACGUUGUCACUUAUAAUUCCAUGAUUAAUGCAUAUUGUAAGGAAGAAAAGAUGGAAUCGGCUGAGAAUAUGUUGGAAAUCAUGACGCAACAAAAUAUUUAUCCCACUGUCUCUACUUAUUCUUCGCUUAUUGAAGGGCUCUGCCUGAAGGGCGAAAUCGAAAGGGCGAAACAGUUACUUGAUUCCAUGGUAGAGAGGGGCCUUACACCCGAUAUUGUUAACUAUAACACCUUGCUAAAUGGAUAUUGCAAGAAAGGAAGCUUGGAUGAAGCUUGGCUUAUAUUUCUUGAAAUUCGCGAUAAAGGUCUCGAGCAUAAUGUGCGGACUUAUAAUACAUUAUUGGAUGGGUUAUCGAAGCGUGGGAUGGUUGAUGAAGCUUUGCUUUUGCUGUCCGAGAUGAUGGAGAAGGGCAUCUCGCCUAGUGUUGUCACGUGCAACAUAUUGAUAGAUCAAUAUUGCUCGCAGGGCGAGAUGGUUAGAGCCAGAGAGCUCUUCGCUUCAAUGGAAAGGACGGGGAUCAACCACAGUAUAGUCACCUAUAAUAUCUUGAUAAAGGGAUACUGCAAGACGGGAAACCUUGAUGAAGCUUUGCAUUUCUUUGAUGAAAUCUCGCGUGUAGGUCUCAAACGCUCAACCGUAUCAUACAACAUGAUGAUGCAUGGGCUAAUACGCCAAAGUAGUUUUUCAGAUGGGUGGAAGCUUUUCCAAGAUAUGGAAGCUCAGAAUCUACAUCCGAAUGUCUACACCUACAACAUCUUGUUGGAUGGCUUGUGUCGGAUAAGUCGGAUCGAUGAGGCGUUUGCGUUUUUGACGGUGAUGGAGGCAGAAGGCAUGAAACCUGAUAUUGUAACGUAUAAUGUUCUUAUCAACGGCUUGUGCAAGGGCAGAAGACUCGAUGAUGCUACGAGGCUCUUCAACCAUCUCCCUUCCAAGGGCUUAAAUCCUAGCGCAUAUACCUACACCAUGAUGCUCGACUCCCUCUACCGUGAAGGGCGCGAAGCAGAGGCAAGGAGGUUGAUGGUGGAGAUGGAAAGGAGCGGCUGCGUGCCUGGUGGCGUGACGUUCAACAUUAUUGUGUGCCAUCUGGUGAAGAACAAAAGGGUGCAUGAGGCAAUACCUCUCUUGGAGGAGAUGUGCAGGAGAGGACUUGAGGUUGAUUCAGAGAUCAUUUCUGCAUUGCUUGAGGAACUUAGAAUAGGAGAAGGUAAAGAUGCGAAAUUGCAAGAGAUUCUUAGGAAAGUUUGUGCUCAAAAUCGACAAGUGAAUGUUCUAUUUUGAGGAUUUUUACUCUGGUUCAGUUGUCAAGAAGUGACUCAUAGAAUGCUAAACGUGAUAUAACUCAGAAUGGAGUUCCACCGUCGUGUGGUCAUGCGGCGCAGUGUCUUGUGCUGGUUGAGCUUGAAUACUGCUGUGUCAAGGCAGUAAACCGGCGCAAUGGAAAGAUGAUGAAGAGAGUAUUUGUUCAUGGAAAGUUCCAGAAGCCUACCCUUAACUGAAUGCACCUCACUGACAAUGAAGUGCGGCUCAGUUGGUAAGACGAAGGAGAAAACGAGAACCUUAGUAACUGAGAAAUGAGAACCUUAGUAAAAAAAAUCCUUAUCGAACAUAAACUUUUUCUUUAUUUUCAAUCGUUGACUGCAGUUUGAUUCAUUCCAUGCCUAUCUAGCUAUCCGACUUCGAUGUAUUAUUACACCUUUUAAUAAUAAAUAUUCUUAUAUUUAUGUAA